CUGCCUGUUUGUAUGUAUGUCUUUGUAUGUAUGUGUUUGUGUGUGCCUGUCUGUGUAUGUAUGUGUGUAUGUCUGUGUGUGUCUGCCUGUAUGUGUGUGUGCUUGUCUGUCUGUAUGUGUCUUCCUGUGUGUAUGUGUGCCUGUCUGUUUUUUUAAUGUAUGUGUCUUUGUAUGUAUGUGUGUGUGUGUCUGUAUGUGUGCCUGUCUGUUUGUAUGUAUG
Non-coding RNA from Pelobates cultripes (western spadefoot toad), 220 nucleotides. The record is from the annotation of a GenBank genome assembly. NCBI's taxonomy places the organism in Eukaryota, Metazoa, Chordata, Amphibia, Anura, Pelobatidae.